GAUAUUCUAUAAGCUGAAAUAAAAAGAUAAAAUAAGCAAAGCUAGAGGAUUUACAUACAUCUCUAGUGACAAGAUUAAUUGUGCAAAGCAAAAAAGGAUAGCAAUGUAUCAACGGACUUAGCUUGAUGCCACAUCAAUUCACAUGUUCGAAGUUUGAUCCUCAAACGGACCAAUCUUGAAAAUAUUUUGUUGUUGAAUAAAUAUGAACCGAAGGAAUCAAACAUAUAAAAUAAUUCUAAGCAAUUAAGAAUCUACAAUUGACACAUAAUCGUGGUGCUAAUAGCAAAAUGGCCAUUUUCUUAAACAAAUUUUAGAACCAAAGAUAUUAAAUGGGAAACUUCUGGCUUCUGAGAUAAUGGAACUGGGUUUUCUCAUGCAGCUCAAGUACAUCCUUACCUUCUCAUUUAGAACCUGAAAGCUGAAAAGAAGCAAAAAAGAAAGUCAAAUUUGUGGUCACUGAAAACAUUAACAAUGUAAACCAAAAAUACAGUCUUCGCACGACUACCUUAUCAGAGAACUUGUAUAUAUUUGAAGGUGUGUCUAGAAGGCAAUUAAUUAAGUCUUAACUGAUGGAUUGCGUUUUAUCAGAAAAAUGGUUUUUUCAGUCAGCAAAUGAUGAAAAAAUGCAUCCUACGCUCCAAAUGGAAGGUAAAUGCUGCAUUUUGGAGAAAACAACAUUCUAAACAUGUUAAGAAACAUGAAUAUAAGCAAAAUCGGGGAAAUUAUUAAAGAUGAUUUUACUAUUCUUGGAAGCAAGAUAAGUUCGUUCGGAUGUUGUCGAAUUCAUUUAUUGUCCAACAUUAUAGUGUUACUAACAUGUCUACACUAUUAACUAAAAUGCUAACUAAGUGGCAACUAUUCUGUACCUUGCAGUUGUGUUUUCUAGAGCUCACUGAUCACAAGGGAAACAACACACGUGACAGGAGGAGGGGGCAGGGAGCAGCAUAGGAACUUAUAGCGAAAGCGGAAGGCAUGGCAAUUCUAGGCAGCAUUCAUGGUGCUGUUGGAAAACAUGUGAGUGCAAGCAUGAUAUUGAAGGUGCUAUGCCACUGCAUCUAUUUAAUAAAAUGUGCAAAGCUAAUUAACCUUGAAAGAUCCGCUUGGCUAAUUAACCUUGAAAGAUCCGCUUGUUGAGUUCAUCCUCUACAUAUCUAUACACGAAAUUUAUUCAGGUAAAAAUCCAUUUUCUUUAACACCGAAAGAAUCAUAAAAAUUGAUUGACUUAAAUGCAAUAUCACAAUAAAAUGGAUCUGAUGAGAAAGAGGAAAGAUGGAUCGCUUUGCUUACCUGACAAAGACGGAUGAUGAACCCUGCGUCG
This 1318-nucleotide long non-coding RNA is filed under the name Triticum aestivum (bread wheat). Its description in RNAcentral is "long non-coding RNA (TAES_LNC021857)". The record is from RNAcentral. Lineage: Eukaryota; Viridiplantae; Streptophyta; Magnoliopsida; Poales; Poaceae.